RNAcentral lists this long non-coding RNA (284 nucleotides) under Gallus gallus (chicken). The record is from RNAcentral. Lineage: Eukaryota; Metazoa; Chordata; Aves; Galliformes; Phasianidae.
GUCCAUCAUCUCUUUGAUCAUCUUGGCAGCACUCUCAUUGUUCGUGGCAUAUUUCUCACACGCCGUGACACACAGCUCCAUGGCCUCUACGCGCAUCUCCUCCGGCAUGUCUGUGUGCCUAAUCAGCGGAAAGCUGUGCAGUCUCUUAUAAUCAGCUUCCUCCUUCUUCCCCUCCCCAGUGUCGGCCAUGGUCUUUCCCCAGUGACCCCGGGAAGGGGCAGGGGGCCGGGAUGGAGCUCAGCAAGGCACUGCAGUGCAGAUGGCUCAGGGAGCGUGGCUCUGAG